This 303-nucleotide unclassified non-coding RNA is filed under the name Hevea brasiliensis (rubber tree). Lineage: Eukaryota; Viridiplantae; Streptophyta; Magnoliopsida; Malpighiales; Euphorbiaceae. The record is from RNAcentral.
GAAGGAGUUGAUGGUGAUGAGAAGGGUGGCAUCGUUUGCAAAAAUUGCAUAGAACAGCCAAAGCAUGGCGCUAAAUAAUGCAAUCACAUAUGGAAGAGACUGAAACCCUUCGCUUGUUUUCUUCUUGCAAAUUUGAUAAAAAGUUGGCAUAGGAGCAAGGCAGACCAGAAAGGAGAUGAUGUUACCUAAAAGGCCGAAAGCGAACGCCAAUGUCAAGUGGAGGGCCAUCUCUCCUACUGUACUAUUACAGAAGAAAAAGGUCUCAGACUCACAAAAAAAGAAAACAAAUGUCUCAAAAGAAAC